RNAcentral lists this ribosomal RNA (1299 nucleotides) under metagenome. RNAcentral's name for it is "bacterial LSU rRNA". It matches the Rfam family "Bacterial large subunit ribosomal RNA", at positions 1636 to 2925 of the family's 2925-position model. The record is from RNAcentral.
ACACGACCGUACCGCAAACCGACACUGGUGCGCGAGAUGAGUAUUCUCAGGCGCUUGAGAGAACUCGGGAGAAGGAACUCGGCAAAUUGACACCGUAACUUCGGAAGAAGGUGUGCCUUUAGUAGGUGAAGUCCCUCGCGGAUGGAGCCCAAUGAGGUUGCAAAGAAUCGGUGGCUGCGACUGUUUAAUAAAAACACAGCACUCUGCAAACACGAAAGUGGACGUAUAGGGUGUGACGCCUGCCCGGUGCUGGAAGAUUAAGUGAUGGGGUGCAAGCUCUUGAUCGAAGUCCCAGUAAACGGCGGCCGUAACGAUAACGGUCCUAGGGUAGCGAAAUUCCUUGUCGGGUAAGUUCCGACCUGCACGAAUGGCGUAACGAUGGCCACACUGUCUCCUCCCGAGACUCAGCGAAGUUGAAAUGUUUGUGAUGAUGCAAUCUCCCCGCGGAAAGACGGAAAGACCCCAUGAACCUUUACUGUAGCUUUGUAUUGGACUUUGAACGGAUCUGUGUAGGAUAGGUGGGAGGCUUUGAAGCCGGGUCGCUAGAUCUGGUGGAGCCAACGUUGAAAUACCACCCUGGUGCGUUUGAGGUUCUAACCUAGGCCCGUUAUCCGGGCCGGGGACAGUGCAUGGUAGGCAGUUUGACUGGGGCGGUCUCCUCCCAAAGCGUAACGGAGGAGUUCGAAGGUACGCUAGUUACGGUCGGACAUCGUGACGAUAGUGCAAUGGCAUAAGCGUGCUUAACUGCGAGACUGACAAGUCGAGCAGAUGCGAAAGCAGGACAUAGUGAUCCGGUGGUUCUGUAUGGAAGGGCCAUCGCUCAACGGAUAAAAGGUACUCUGGGGAUAACAGGCUGAUACCGCCCAAGAGUUCAUAUCGACGGCGGUGUUUGGCACCUCGAUGUCGGCUCAUCUCAUCCUGGGGCUGUAGCCGGUCCCAAGGGUAUGGCUGUUCGCCAUUUAAAGAGGUACGUGAGCUGGGUUUAAAACGUCGUGAGACAGUUUGGUCCCUAUCUUCCGUGGGCGCUGCAGAUUUGAGGAAGCCUGCUCCUAGUACGAGAGGACCGGAGUGGACGCACCUCUGGUGUACCUGUUGUCACGCCAGUGGCAUUGCAGGGUAGCUAAGUGCGGAAGAGAUAACCGCUGAAAGCAUCUAAGCGGGAAACUCGUUUCAAGAUGAGAUCUGCCGGGGCCUUGAGCCCCCUGAAGAGUCGUUCUAGACCAGGACGUUGAUAGGUCAGGUGUGGAAGCGCAGUAAUGCGUUAAGCUAACUGAUACUAAUUGCUCGUGCGGCUUGACC